AGCGAACGCUGGCGGCAGGCUUAACACAUGCAAGUCGAGCGGGCGUAGCAAUACGUCAGCGGCAGACGGGUGAGUAACGCGUGGGAACGUACCUUUUGGUUCGGAACAACACAGGGAAACUUGUGCUAAUACCGGAUAAGCCCUUACGGGGAAGAUUUAUCGCCGAAAGAUCGGCCCGCGUCUGAUUAGCUAGUUGGUGAGGUAAUGGCUCACCAAGGCGACGAUCAGUAGCNGGUCUGAGAGGAUGAUCAGCCACAUUGGGACUGAGACACGGCCCAAACUCCUACGGGAGGCAGCAGUGGGGAAUAUUGGACAAUGGGCGCAAGCCUGAUCCAGCCAUGCCGCGUGAGUGAUGAAGGCCCUAGGGUUGUAAAGCUCUUUGUGCGGGAAGAUAAUGACGGUACCGCAAGAAUAACGCCCCGGCUAACUUCGUGCCAGCCGCCGCCGUAAC
Molecule: ribosomal RNA, 451 nt
Filed under: uncultured bacterium
Lineage: Bacteria
Description: bacterial SSU rRNA
Rfam family: Bacterial small subunit ribosomal RNA
Source: RNAcentral